Molecule: non-coding RNA, 1410 nt
Organism: Lactuca sativa (garden lettuce)
Lineage: Eukaryota; Viridiplantae; Streptophyta; Magnoliopsida; Asterales; Asteraceae
Source: RefSeq, a predicted model, not a curated record
UUUUAAUGGUCACGUGUUGUUUUAUUUUGCUUCACUGCUUUGUUGGCCAAUCACGUUCAUAUCAGUGUUAUUCUUCACCGUUUUUAUUACCAUAUAGUAGCAUUAACAUACCACCUUCAUCUCGAUCCUUCUUCAACCAUGUGUGUGACUGUUUCUUUGUAGACGCGAUCCAGCACCGCCAUCUCCACCGUCUUUAUGAAGCACCACUAGGCACUCCUUAAUUUUUUUCACUACUUCUGCUAUUCAUCGUUUUCGAAACCCACCAUUUUCUUCCUUUGAUGGGUUCCGAUUUUGAUGGUUCCUUCCCGAUAUUGAAGCGAUGAUGUGUUUUAUUUUUUAAAAGAUUUUGCGUUAUCGAGUAUCGGGUGAAACUGAGGGUAGUAUUUUGGCAGGGCAACUCAGGAGGCAUUCUAGUCGGAUAUUGCAACCGGUGUUUGCAGCCAUCCCGGUGUCACCGGUUCAAUGCUUCCUUCAUAUUUAGAUGUGCUCCAUAAAGUAAUUUUUUCUGAUUUUCUAGGGUUUUUGUGUGGCUUACCUGUUAAGAUUGACACCACCACCCAACGAACCGAUGAAGCAGGAGGUGGCGAAAACCGACGGUGGAAACCGGUUGUUGAUUGCAGCCUUCUUCUAAUUUACAGAUGAAUCGGAAGUAGGAUCGAUGAAGAUUUGUUGAUGUAUAAAAAAAAGGCGAUUUUAGUAGCAUCGGAGGGAAUUGAAAGGAUUCAAAUCGGUAUCAUAUGUGAAUGUUGAUGUGAACAGUCAUAUUGAAUUAAAAAUACGUGCAAUCAAUUUGUCGGUUCCGGUGGAGGUAGUUAUCGGCCUUUUGCCUAAUCUUCUUCGUCUGGGAUCUAUCAGGGCUUUCGUGUACGAGGGUUUUCUUAUGUGAUCAAAUGAUUUCCCUUGUGAGUGGCACUUGAUAUCUUUUCUACAUUCUUAUGCAACUUUGAUGUGGACAUCAACGUAGGUCGGAUUGAAACUAAUAAAGCAAAAAAACAUGUACAGCUUGUUGCUAAUUAUUUGUUUUUUUUAGUGAGUUGUUAUAUGAAAGGCUAUAGAUGUUUGGAAUUGUUAUUACUCAUUACAAGAAGAGAUGAGGGAGUGAUUGAACUGAAUUUGCGUUUUUGGGGGUUGUUACGUGACAACCAAAACUGAGCUGAAGAAGUCUACAACAAAUUUAGGUGCUUACUCUAAUAGUUCCAUUGUAAUUUUACUAAAAUAUUUACUUAUUUUGUUGUUUCGUCUUGAAUUUUGUUAGGAUCUGUUUACUUUGAUAGACUAGAAUGAAUGAAUGAUGGAAGAAUGGAAUGAUUCUUACUCGUUACAUUCCAUGAUAUAUGGUUUGCAAGAUUUUUUUUUGGAAUUUCAUAUCAACAACCUUUUAUGUUUUCGGUUAUUGUUUGUUGGUUUAGA